GAUGAACGCUAGCGGCAGGCCUAACACAUGCAAGUCGAGGGGGAAGUUACUUUCGGGUAACAGAGACCGGCGUACGGGUGCGUAACGCGUAUACAAUCUGCCUUUCACUGGGGGAUAGCCCGAAGAAAUUUGGAUUAAUACCCCAUAGUAUAGUAAUACGGCAUCGUGAUACUAUUAAAGCUUAGGUGGUGAAAGAUGAGUAUGCGUUCUAUUAGCUAGUUGGAGAGGUAACGGCUCCCCAAGGCGAUGAUAGAUAGGGGUUCUGAGAGGGAUGUCCCCCACACUGGUACUGAGAUACGGACCAGACUCCUACGGGAGGCAGCAGUGAGGAAUAUUGGACAAUGGUCGGAAGACUGAUCCAGCCAUGCCGCGUGCAGGAUGAAGGUCUUAUGGAUUGUAAACUGCUUUUGUAAGGGAAGAAUAAGAGCUACGCGUAGUUUGAUGACGUACCUACGAUAAGCUCGCA
This 466-nucleotide ribosomal RNA is filed under the name Capnocytophaga sp. oral taxon E54. Its description in RNAcentral is "bacterial SSU rRNA". It matches the Rfam family "Bacterial small subunit ribosomal RNA", at positions 28 to 495 of the family's 1533-position model. Lineage: Bacteria; Pseudomonadati; Bacteroidota; Flavobacteriia; Flavobacteriales; Flavobacteriaceae. The record is from RNAcentral.